CGAGAUAAGUUGGGUAGUCAAAAGGGAAAGAGCCCAGACCUACAGCUAAGGUCCCAAAAUGUGUGUUAAGUGGAAAAGGAUGUGGGAUUUCGAAGACAACUAGGAUGUUGGCUUAGAAGCAGCCAUCCAUUAAAAGAGUGCGUAAUAGCUCACUAGUCGAGAGGUCCUGCGCCGAAAAUGUCCGGGGCUGAAACACACUACCGAAGCUUGGGAAUUGACGAAUGUUAAUUGGUAGAGGAGCAUUCUUAACGGGGCGAAGCUGUACCGGAAGGAGCAGUGGACUGUUAAGAAGAGAGAAUGCCGGAAUGAGUAGCGAGAGGAAGGUGAGAAUCCUUCCGGCCGAAUAUCUAAGGUUUCCAGAGUAAAGCUGAUCUGCUCUGGGUAAGUCGGGGCCUAAGGCGAGGUCGAAAGACGUAGUCGAUGGAUAACAGGUAAAGAUUCCUGUACUGUAUCAUAACAGAACUGUGGGGACGCAGACAGAGAGCAUAAGCCGGGAAUGGAAAGACCGGUACAAGCGAGGUAGGAGUGCAUCAGGCAAAUCCGGUGCACAAUCUGAAGACGUGAUGUGGGGCGUAAAGCCGGAAGUAUGUGAGCUGGCUGCCAAGAAAAGCCGCUAUUGUUUAUGAUAUACCCGUACCGUAAACCGACACAGGUGGAUGAGGAGAGAAUCCUAAGGCCGACGGGAGAAGCAUUGUUAAGGAACUCGGCAAAAUGACUCCGUAACUUCGGGAGAAGGAGUGCCAUGUAAAAGUGGCCGCAGAGAAUUGGCCCAAGCAACUGUUUAGCAAAAACACAGGUCUAUGCAAAACCGAAAGGUGAGGUAUAUGGGCUGACGCCUGCCCGGUGCUGGAAGGUUAAGGGGAGAGGUUAGCCGUAAGGCGAAGCUUUGAACUUAAGCCCCAGUAAACGGCGGCCGUAACUAUAACGGUCCUAAGGUAGCGAAAUUCCUUGUCGGGUAAGUUCCGACCCGCACGAAAGGCGUAAUGAUUUGGGCACUGUCUCAACAAUGCACCCGGUGAAAUUGAAAUACCAGUGAAGAUGCUGGUUACCUGCGCCAGGACGGAAAGACCCCAUGGAGCUUUACUCCAGCUUGAUACUGGGAUUCGAUAUUGCAUGUACAGGAUAGGUGGGAGACUGAGAACUGAUGACGCCAGUUGUCAGGGAGUCACUGUUGGGAUACCACCCUUGUAGUAUUGGAUUUCUAACCAGCAGCCGUGAACCGGCUGGGGGACAAUGUCAGGUGGGGAGUUUGACUGGGGCGGUCGCCUCCGAAAGGGUAUCGGAGGCGCUCAAAGGUUCCCUCAGAAUGGUUGGAAACCAUUCGAAGAGUGCAAAGGCAGAAGGGAGCUUGACUGCGACACCGACGGGUGGAGCAGGUACGAAAGUAGGACUUAGUGAUCCGGUGGUAUAAAGUGGGAUUGCCAUCGCUCAACGGAUAAAAGCUACCCUGGGGAUAACAGGCUUAUCACUCCCAAGAGUUCACAUCGACGGAGUGGUUUGGCACCUCGAUGUCGGCUCAUCGCAUCCUGGGGCUGAAGUAGGUCCCAAGGGUUGGGCUGUUCGCCCAUUAAAGCGGUACGCGAGCUGGGUUCAGAACGUCGUGAGACAGUUCGGUCCCUAUCCGGCGUGGGCGUAGGAUAUUUGAGAGGAGCUGCCCUUAGUACGAGAGGACCGGGGUGGACUGGCCGCUGGUGGAUCUGUUGUAUUACCAAAUGCAUAGCAGAGUAGCCAAGCCGGGACGGGAUAAACGCUGAAGGCAUCUAAGCGUGAAGCCCCCCUCAAGAUGAGAUAUCCCAUAACGUCAAGUUAGUAAGACCCCUUGAAGACGACGAGGUAGAUAGGGCAGAGGUGGAAGUGCGGUAACGCAUGGAGCUGACUGUUACUAAUAGGUCGAGGGCAUAACCAA
This 1906-nucleotide ribosomal RNA is filed under the name human gut metagenome. Its description in RNAcentral is "bacterial LSU rRNA". It matches the Rfam family "Bacterial large subunit ribosomal RNA", at positions 994 to 2925 of the family's 2925-position model. The record is from RNAcentral.